This 465-nucleotide ribosomal RNA is filed under the name Vreelandella stevensii. Its description in RNAcentral is "partial 16S ribosomal RNA". It matches the Rfam family "Bacterial small subunit ribosomal RNA", at positions 338 to 795 of the family's 1533-position model. Lineage: Bacteria; Pseudomonadati; Pseudomonadota; Gammaproteobacteria; Oceanospirillales; Halomonadaceae. The record is from RNAcentral.
CCUACGGGUGGCAGCAGUGGGGAAUAUUGGACAAUGGGCGAAAGCCUGAUCCAGCCAUGCCGCGUGUGUGAAGAAGGCCUUCGGGUUGUAAAGCACUUUCAGUGGGGAAGAAAGCCUUGGGGCUAAUACCCUCGAGGAAGGACAUCACCCACAGAAGAAGCACCGGCUAACUCCGUGCCAGCAGCCGCGGUAAUACGGAGGGUGCGAGCGUUAAUCGGAAUUACUGGGCGUAAAGCGCGCGUAGGCGGUCUGAUAAGCCGGUUGUGAAAGCCCCGGGCUCAACCUGGGAACGGCAUCCGGAACUGUCAGGCUAGAGUGCAGUAGAGGAAGGUAGAAUUCCCGGUGUAGCAGUGAAAUGCGUAGAGAUCGGGAGGAAUACCGGUGGCGAAGGCAGCCGUCUGGACUGACACUGACGCUGAUGUGCGAAAGCGUGGGUAGCAAACAGGAUUAGAUACCCUGGUAGUC